GAUUUUGUUUGAUAAAUAUGUUUAGCUACACCCUUUUUGCAUAGAAUUGGUCUUGGUGUCAGCUCAAACGCAGAAACUAGAUUUUGGAAUUCGUAUUUUCGUGGUAUUUGAGGAUGCAAUUAGUAGAUGGUCAAAAAUAGUUCCUGGAAUCCAGUGCAUUUGGAAUCAAUACAUGGGUAGGUAGUGGAUACAUUUUUCAGAAGCAUAUGUUUUCUGUAGCUCCAAUCAACAUUAUGUAAGCUGCAAUCAACACUAUAUAUAGCUUCCUGCUGCUUUCCUAGGUUAUGAUUUGACUGGUUCCUGCUUUUUGGGAAAAAUACACUCUAUGGUCAACUCGUCCUUCAAUGCCAACUGACUACUUUUACAGCUAGGCAAUACUACCUUCACUAUAUUCAUGGUGAUAAAUUGGUUUUGCACAAGACAAAUAGGGACUUGGAACUUCACUUUUGGUAUCCUGUCAUUAUCAAUUUGCCAUUGCUCAAAGUAUAAAUUCAUUUCGUGUAUUUAACUUCAUAACUAUAAUUAUAUUAAUUUUUUAUGUGCACCAGAUCUGAUGAUUCAGAUGUUGUUGUUAGUAUUGCUUGUGGUAGACUUUCAG
Molecule: long non-coding RNA, 598 nt
Organism: Vicia villosa (hairy vetch)
Lineage: Eukaryota; Viridiplantae; Streptophyta; Magnoliopsida; Fabales; Fabaceae
Exons: 3
Source: RefSeq, a predicted model, not a curated record